Molecule: long non-coding RNA, 434 nt
Organism: Gossypium arboreum
Lineage: Eukaryota; Viridiplantae; Streptophyta; Magnoliopsida; Malvales; Malvaceae
Exons: 2
Source: RefSeq, a predicted model, not a curated record
CCAUUUUAUUUCUUAUUCCCAUUAUUUUUCAAACAAAAAGAAGCAGAAUGCUUCUUCUUCCCUGCUCCUUUUCCAUUUUUCUUUGCUAGGAAUUCAACCUAGCUUGCGCCACUUGGAGGAUCAUCGGUGCCACGCACCUCCACCUCACCGCCGGUUCACGGAUCAAGACCAGAUAUAGCUGCGAAAAUCUCGGAAUCGAGAGGCGUGGCGGAGUGGGACGCUGGUGAGAGGCGUGCGGCGCGAGGACUCAUGCAACAACUUUGAGUCUCUGUUCGUUUGGGCCUUGUUUGGGUCUAUUUUUGUGCCUAUUUUUCUUGUAUUGGAUCAUGGCAUGAAUUUGGUCCUACACUGAUCAUUACAAUUUCAUUUGUUUCACUGAAAAUGAUUUCUUGGCUUUUCUGGAAAAGUUAAUAUUUUUUGGGAGUUUGAAUAAA